UACAGAGGUGGCAAGCGUUGCUCGGAAUCACUGGGCGUAAAGCGCACGUAGGCGGAUCUUUAAGUCAGAGGUGAAAUCCCAAGGCUCAACCUUGGAACUGCCUUUGAUACUGGGGAUCUCGAGUCCGGAAGAGGUGAGUGGAACUGCGAGUGUAGAGGUGGAAUUCGUAGAUAUUAGGAAGAACACCAGUGGCGAAGGCGGCUCACUGGUCCGGUACUGACGCUGAGGUGCGAAAGCGUGGGGAGCAAACAGG
This 253-nucleotide ribosomal RNA is filed under the name uncultured bacterium. RNAcentral's name for it is "partial 16S ribosomal RNA". It matches the Rfam family "Bacterial small subunit ribosomal RNA", at positions 524 to 776 of the family's 1533-position model. The record is from RNAcentral.